UGUAUUUAUAUCUCCCAUCUAGACUGUCAUUUACCUGUAGUUAGGGACCACAGAUUCUCAUUUUUAUUUCCACAGUUUCUGAAAAAGUGUGUGAAGCAUGCUCAGAAUCAAUAAGCUUCCACUUAAUAAAUGAGAAAGGAGUGAACUCAUCAGAAUCCCAGAGAUUGCUGAAAAAAAUUACCACGGUCGAGAAUCUGCUGCAUCAAAGCUCUGGUGGAAUAAACAGGGGAAGAAAAAUCUCAAAGGUUCACAGCCAGGUUUUAGAGAUGAAGGGCAGGAUGCUGGGCUGUACUCCUGCACAAACUUUCAACUUGUGCACUUGGAAAGCUGUGUUCUUUCCAUCAAAGGGCAGAGACUCUAACAGGACAGUAAACCUAGGAAGGAUGUUCUGACCUUCCCUCAAAGCUGGAAAGGAGGCCCUCAUUCAAGAGAAAUUACUUGACCCAUAUCCAGUAAAAGGAACCUCCUUAUCCCUGAAGACAUGAAGACCAAGAGGAAUCCCUACAGACAAGUUCUUACAAGGUUGCCUCAAUUAUAUCCUACCCUCUUGUCCAGUAAAUUUUUUUCUAUGACUGUCCACUCUUCCACAAACUUAGCUUAAAAACAUGUGUGAUGAUUUCUUUGAGCCUUCAUUUCUGAAGACUCCUGUGUAACAAAAAACUAAUAUUAAAUAAACUUGUGUUCUUUUCUCAUGUUAA
Urocitellus parryii (Arctic ground squirrel) is the source of this 698-nucleotide non-coding RNA. The record is from RefSeq and is a predicted model, not a curated record. Lineage: Eukaryota; Metazoa; Chordata; Mammalia; Rodentia; Sciuridae.